UACGUAGGGUGCGAGCGUUUGUCCGGAAUUACUGGGCGUAAAGAGCUCGUAGGUGGUUUGUCGCGUUGUUCGUGAAAACUCACAACUCAAUUGUGGGCGUGCGGGCGAUACGGGCAGACUGGAGUACUGCAGGGGAGACUGGAAUUCCUGGUGUAGCGGUGGAAUGCGCAGAUAUCAGGAGGAACACCGGUGGCGAAGGCGGGUCUCUGGGCAGUAACUGACGCUGAGGAGCGAAAGCGUGGGGAGCGAACAGG
RNAcentral lists this ribosomal RNA (254 nucleotides) under uncultured bacterium. RNAcentral describes it as "partial 16S ribosomal RNA". It matches the Rfam family "Bacterial small subunit ribosomal RNA", at positions 524 to 776 of the family's 1533-position model. The record is from RNAcentral.